GGAGAGGUGCCCGAGUGGUUUAAGGGAACGGUCUUGAAAACCGUCGUGCCGGAAACGGUACCGUGGGUUCGAAUCCCACCCUCUCCGCCA
RNAcentral lists this transfer RNA (90 nucleotides) under Candidatus Saccharimonadota bacterium. RNAcentral's name for it is "tRNA-Ser". It matches the Rfam family "tRNA". From Rfam's summary of the family: Transfer RNA (tRNA) molecules are approximately 80 nucleotides in length. Their secondary structure includes four short double-helical elements and three loops (D, anti-codon, and T loops). The record is from RNAcentral. Lineage: Bacteria; Candidatus Saccharimonadota.